This 2923-nucleotide ribosomal RNA is filed under the name Klebsiella pneumoniae. RNAcentral's name for it is "bacterial LSU rRNA". It matches the Rfam family "Bacterial large subunit ribosomal RNA". The record is from RNAcentral. Lineage: Bacteria; Pseudomonadati; Pseudomonadota; Gammaproteobacteria; Enterobacterales; Enterobacteriaceae.
GGGUUGUGAGGUUAAGCGACUAAGCGUACACGGUGGAUGCCCUGGCAGUCAGAGGCGAUGAAGGACGUGCUAAUCUGCGAAAAGCGUCGGUAAGGUGAUAUGAACCGUUAUAACCGGCGAUGUCCGAAUGGGGAAACCCAGUGCAAUUCGUUGCACUAUCGUUAACUGAAUACAUAGGUUAACGAGGCGAACCGGGGGAACUGAAACAUCUAAGUACCCCGAGGAAAAGAAAUCAACCGAGAUUCCCCCAGUAGCGGCGAGCGAACGGGGAGCAGCCCAGAGUCUGAAUCAGCUUGUGUGUUAGUGGAACGGUCUGGAAAGUCCGACGGUACAGGGUGAUAGUCCCGUACACCAAAAUGCACAGGCUGUGAACUCGAAGAGUAGGGCGGGACACGUGGUAUCCUGUCUGAAUAUGGGGGGACCAUCCUCCAAGGCUAAAUACUCCUGACUGACCGAUAGUGAACCAGUACCGUGAGGGAAAGGCGAAAAGAACCCCGGCGAGGGGAGUGAAAAAGAACCUGAAACCGUGUACGUACAAGCAGUGGGAGCACCUUCGGGUGUGACUGCGUACCUUUUGUAUAAUGGGUCAGCGACUUAUAUUCUGUAGCAAGGUUAACCGUAUAGGGGAGCCGCAGGGAAACCGAGUCUUAACUGGGCGUUAAGUUGCAGGGUAUAGACCCGAAACCCGGUGAUCUAGCCAUGGGCAGGUUGAAGGUUGGGUAACACUAACUGGAGGACCGAACCGACUAAUGUUGAAAAAUUAGCGGAUGACUUGUGGCUGGGGGUGAAAGGCCAAUCAAACCGGGAGAUAGCUGGUUCUCCCCGAAAGCUAUUUAGGUAGCGCCUCGUGAACUCAUCUUCGGGGGUAGAGCACUGUUUCGGCUAGGGGGUCAUCCCGACUUACCAACCCGAUGCAAACUACGAAUACCGAAGAAUGUUAUCACGGGAGACACACGGCGGGUGCUAACGUCCGUCGUGAAGAGGGAAACAACCCAGACCGCCAGCUAAGGUCCCAAAGUCAUGGUUAAGUGGGAAACGAUGUGGGAAGGCACAGACAGCCAGGAUGUUGGCUUAGAAGCAGCCAUCAUUUCAAGAAAGCGUAAUAGCUCACUGGUCGAGUCGGCCUGCGCGGAAGAUGUAACGGGGCUAAACCAUGCACCGAAGCUGCGGCAGCGACACUAUGUGUUGUUGGGUAGGGGAGCGUUCUGUAAGCCUGCGAAGGUGUGCUGUGAGGCAUGCUGGAGGUAUCAGAAGUGCGAAUGCUGACAUAAGUAACGAUAAAGCGGGUGAAAAGCCCGCUCGCCGGAAGACCAAGGGUUCCUGUCCAACGUUAAUCGGGGCAGGGUGAGUCGACCCCUAAGGCGAGGCCGAAAGGCGUAGUCGAUGGGAAACAGGUUAAUAUUCCUGUACUUGGUGUUACUGCGAAGGGGGGACGGAGAAGGCUAUGUUAGCCGGGCGACGGUUGUCCCGGUUUAAGCAUGUAGGCUGAUUGUCCAGGCAAAUCCGGAUAAUCAAGGCUGAGGUGUGAUGACGAGGCACUACGGUGCUGAAGUAACAAAUGCCCUGCUUCCAGGAAAAGCCUCUAAGCAUCAGGUAACAUUAAAUCGUACCCCAAACCGACACAGGUGGUCAGGUAGAGAAUACCAAGGCGCUUGAGAGAACUCGGGUGAAGGAACUAGGCAAAAUGGUGCCGUAACUUCGGGAGAAGGCACGCUGGUGUGUAGGUGAAGUCCCUGCGGAUGGAGCUGAGACCAGUCGAAGAUACCAGCUGGCUGCAACUGUUUAUUAAAAACACAGCACUGUGCAAACACGAAAGUGGACGUAUACGGUGUGACGCCUGCCCGGUGCCGGAAGGUUAAUUGAUGGGGUUAUCCGUAAGGAGAAGCUCUUGAUCGAAGCCCCGGUAAACGGCGGCCGUAACUAUAACGGUCCUAAGGUAGCGAAAUUCCUUGUCGGGUAAGUUCCGACCUGCACGAAUGGCGUAAUGAUGGCCAGGCUGUCUCCACCCGAGACUCAGUGAAAUUGAACUCGCUGUGAAGAUGCAGUGUACCCGCGGCAAGACGGAAAGACCCCGUGAACCUUUACUAUAGCUUGACACUGAACAUUGAGCCUUGAUGUGUAGGAUAGGUGGGAGGCUUUGAAGCGUGGACGCCAGUCUGCGUGGAGCCAACCUUGAAAUACCACCCUUUAAUGUUUGAUGUUCUAACGUUGGCCCCUGACCGGGGUUGCGGACAGUGUCUGGUGGGUAGUUUGACUGGGGCGGUCUCCUCCCAAAGCGUAACGGAGGAGCACGAAGGUUAGCUAAUCCUGGUCGGACAUCAGGAGGUUAGUGCAAUGGCAUAAGCUAGCUUGACUGCGAGCGUGACGGCGCGAGCAGGUGCGAAAGCAGGUCAUAGUGAUCCGGUGGUUCUGAAUGGAAGGGCCAUCGCUCAACGGAUAAAAGGUACUCCGGGGAUAACAGGCUGAUACCGCCCAAGAGUUCAUAUCGACGGCGGUGUUUGGCACCUCGAUGUCGGCUCAUCACAUCCUGGGGCUGAAGUAGGUCCCAAGGGUAUGGCUGUUCGCCAUUUAAAGUGGUACGCGAGCUGGGUUUAGAACGUCGUGAGACAGUUCGGUCCCUAUCUGCCGUGGGCGCUGGAGAAUUGAGGGGGGCUGCUCCUAGUACGAGAGGACCGGAGUGGACGCAUCACUGGUGUUCGGGUUGUCAUGCCAAUGGCACUGCCCGGUAGCUAAAUGCGGAAGAGAUAAGUGCUGAAAGCAUCUAAGCACGAAACUUGCCCCGAGAUGAGUUCUCCCUGAGACUUUAAGUCUCCUGAAGGAACGUUAAAGACGAUGACGUUGAUAGGCCGGGUGUGUAAGCGCAGCGAUGCGUUGAGCUAACCGGUACUAAUGAACCGUGAGGCUUAACCUUACAACGCCGAAG